CACAAUUUAUCCUUUUUAGAAACUCUCCUCCCCCAAGAAAGUUGCAACAGUGGAAAGAACAAAAGUUGGGAUGGUGUUUGAAGGAGGAAUUUAAGAAAAGGGAUUGAGCAGCUGGAUUCAAGGCUUGAAUGCAAAGGAAAACUCUUCUUGGUGUAGGCACUCUGUAAAUAGUUGAGAAGCACUUGUUUCUCAAAGAGAAGGACUUCAUGAGAGCUGUAAUGGUCAUUCUGGAGGUUUCCCCAAUAACAGCAUUUUGCCCUAAUGCUGUUCAUGUGGUGUUUUGAGAACUACAAAAAAUAAAACUAGGAAUAAUUCUAACUAGUCAGAUCCUUCUGGUUUGCUUCUUCUCCAUGGAAGUCAUGGGGAACACAGAAGGUGUAAAUGUAGCAGGGGAUAUGAAAGAUAAAGUUGAGUGAAGAGAAUCCAGGAGACCUUUGCAUCUGUGAAGACACGGCUGCUGAGGCAGGCCUGUGGCUACGUGCACACUUAAGAAAUACACAUGUGCUGAUAGAAAACAGAUUUAAAAGGUACCCACUGCUGGUUCCAGUAAACACAAGGCUGAAUGGAAACAUUUGUGAGCCAAAGGCAUCGGUGUCUGCCUCGUAAAAUCUCAAACUGAGAAAUGAGGGAUUAAAUGGCUGUGAACCCUUAAUUAAGUGCUCAGCACCAACGUGCCCUCCUGCUGGAGCCUGAGACGUGCUGAUAGGAGCUGGUGAGGAGCUGGAGCUUGUGGUACUCCUGAUUUUCAAGGUGGAAAAAAGUCCUGCGCUCUCUCUUUUUGAGACACCAUCUCAUGUGUGGCUGGUUCACAGGGCAGACUCCAAAACCAGUGGCAGUGGUGGGUUUUUAGUGGAAUGCAGUUAUUCUGGGAGAAGCAAAUUCCUGGGUGUGCGAG
Molecule: long non-coding RNA, 895 nt
Filed under: Cyanistes caeruleus (blue tit)
Lineage: Eukaryota; Metazoa; Chordata; Aves; Passeriformes; Paridae
Description: lncRNA (ENSCCEG00000013644.1)
Source: RNAcentral